CCAAUUUUUAUCCCAAGCCAAACUCCCCCAACUAACGAGCGCACAGGCAGAAGCACUAAUCAGGCCCAUUGAGCUCACAGAGGUGCUUGAAACGAUCGCCAAAUUGCCACAAGGGAAGUCACCAGGAGCAGAUGGGCUCCCAAACGCCUACUACAAAAAAUUUGCGCACGUCCUGGGCCCCCACCUGCUAAAAGUGUACCGUAGGGCGACUGCCACGGGCGCGCUCCCACCAGAGAUGCUCCGGGCUACCAUAGUAACCAUCCCGAAACCCGACAAACCCCCGGACACCUGUAAAAAUUACCGCCCUAUAUCGCUUCUAAACUCAGAUGCAAAGAUCUAUGCGAAGAUCCUAACAAAUAGACUAAAUAGGGUCCUGCCAUCCCUUAUUGGGGAUGACCAGACAGGGUUCAUACAAGGAAGACAGGGAACAGAUAAUACCAGGAAACUGUCGCUGAUCCUGGAUUACCUCAGGGGGACCAGAGGAGGCGGUCUAUUACUAGCACUUGACGCCGAAAAAGCUUUUGACCGCCUAAGCUGGCCCUUCCUGCAACAAGCCUUGAGAGCCUAUGGGUUCCCCCCCCAGUUUGAGUCACAAAUUUUUGCUCUGUAUGCGGGUCCGACAGCCCAGGUACUACAGGCAGGCUUUAUGUCUGACCCGUUUCAGUUGUCCAAUGGAACGAGGCAGGGGUGCCCCCUAUCCCCCCUGCUGUACGUGUUAGCGUUAGAACCCCUCCUGCAAACCAUUCGAAACCAUCCUGACAUCAAAGGGAUCCAAAUUAAGGGAACAGAUUACAAAGUUAGCGCCUUCGCGGAUGAUAUCCUCCUUUAUGUCACCGAUCCCAUGACCACGAUCCCUGUAAUUAUGCACAUCAUCAAGGAAUAUGGCCUAUGCUCCUACUACGCACUGAACACCACAAAAACCCAAGCCCUGGGAAUUGGCCUACCCCCCCAAGUGACGGAAACACUACGCAGGACAUACCCUUUCGAAUGGAGGCGGGAUAACAUCAAAUACCUAGG
Pelobates cultripes (western spadefoot toad) is the source of this 1017-nucleotide non-coding RNA. The record is from the annotation of a GenBank genome assembly. Lineage: Eukaryota; Metazoa; Chordata; Amphibia; Anura; Pelobatidae.